This 71-nucleotide transfer RNA is filed under the name Desulfovibrio sp. RNAcentral describes it as "tRNA-Gly". It matches the Rfam family "tRNA". Rfam says of the family: Transfer RNA (tRNA) molecules are approximately 80 nucleotides in length. Their secondary structure includes four short double-helical elements and three loops (D, anti-codon, and T loops). The record is from RNAcentral. Lineage: Bacteria; Pseudomonadati; Thermodesulfobacteriota; Desulfovibrionia; Desulfovibrionales; Desulfovibrionaceae.
GUGGGAGUAACUCAGCGAUAGAGUGCAACCUUGCCAAGGUUGAAUCGCUGGUUCAAAUUCCGUCUCCCGCA